RNAcentral lists this ribosomal RNA (410 nucleotides) under Trypanosyllis sp. 1 PAC-2017. RNAcentral's name for it is "partial 16S large subunit ribosomal RNA". It matches the Rfam family "Bacterial large subunit ribosomal RNA", at positions 1948 to 2603 of the family's 2925-position model. Lineage: Eukaryota; Metazoa; Annelida; Polychaeta; Phyllodocida; Syllidae. The record is from RNAcentral.
GUGCUAAGGUAGCAUAAUAAGUUGUCUCCUAAUUAGAGAAUAGAAUGAAUGAAAAAACAUCAUGGUUAUUGUCUCUAAAUAACUACAGAAAUUUAUAUAAGGGUGAAAAAGCCCUAAUUACUUAGAAAGACAAAAAGACCCUAGAAUCUUACAAGUUUUUAUAAUAGCUUUACUUAAACUUUUUAGUUGGGAUGACAAAAAGAUUUAAAAACACUUUUUAAAUUAAAGAUAAAAAUCACAUAAAUUAACCCCACAACGAACGCAAGCAAGUUACUCUAGGGGUAACAGGCUAAUCUUCCUUAAGAGUGCACAUUGACAGGAAGGUUUGGCACCUCGAUGUUGGCUUAGGGAUAUUAUUUUAUGCAGAAGUAAAAUAAAUUGGUUUGUUCAACCAAUAACCCCCUACAUGA